UGUGGUAGUGUGAAGGUUUAAUCCUCCCACCACAUAAAGCACAGCUAACUCAGUUGGAGAAGCAAAAGAAAAGCUGUAUUUUACAAGCAGAAUGAAAUACAAUGAAUAUGUACAAAUAUACAGUAUUUACAGUAUAUACAAAAUUCACAGGAGAGAACGUAACACAGAAAAAAAUGCAGUUCUACUCUUUGACCACCUCUUUUCCCUUCAGAGCACAAAUGAAGAAUAGUUAGACUACUGUAUAUCUGCACUGCAAGAGAUUGAAACCCUUUCAACCUGUGCAUUACUUAGCGUUUGUGCCUACCAUGGUGACCACGGGUGAUGGGGAAUCAGGGUUUGAUUCCAGAGAGGGAGCCAGAGAAACAGCUACCACAUCCAAGGAAGGCAGCAGGCACUCAAAUUACCCACUCCCGACCUGGGGAGGUAGUGACGAAAAAUAACAAUACAGGACUCUUUUGAGGCCCUGUAAUUGGAAUGAGCACACUUUAAAUCCUUGAGUGAGGAUCCAUUGGAGGGCAAGUCUGGUGCCAGCAGUGGUGGUAAUUCCAGUUCCAAUAACGUA
This 562-nucleotide non-coding RNA is filed under the name Dryobates pubescens (Downy woodpecker). RNAcentral describes it as "Picoides pubescens (downy woodpecker) Eukaryotic small subunit ribosomal RNA". It matches the Rfam family "Eukaryotic small subunit ribosomal RNA", at positions 56 to 601 of the family's 1831-position model. Lineage: Eukaryota; Metazoa; Chordata; Aves; Piciformes; Picidae. The record is from Rfam by way of RNAcentral.